UGUGGUGUAGGUCUCAGCGGUAGAGCCGACUCGACGGAGUGAGCGCGCAGGUUCGAAUCCUGCCACCACAC
Molecule: transfer RNA, 71 nt
Filed under: Aeromonas salmonicida
Lineage: Bacteria; Pseudomonadati; Pseudomonadota; Gammaproteobacteria; Aeromonadales; Aeromonadaceae
Also listed under: 1 other name
Description: tRNA-OTHER
Source: RNAcentral